AGAAGGACCAUAUGGAGUUUCAUAGUUUUAGAUUUCUCUCGCAAAUGCUUCUCUCAAACUGACUCAUGUUGUUUUUAUUACUCCUGGCGGUAGUAAACAGCUGGUGUGUGGGGGGCGUAGUCUGGAUUUCUGUAUCGUGUGUGUGUGUGUGUUUCUUUUUUUUUUAACAUACAUUAUGUUUUCAUACCUGUGUUUGUGUGUGUAAUCUGAAUGCAUUCCGCUGCUCUGUUUACCGGCCGUGCAGCGUGAGGAGAAGAAGAAGAAGAAGAAGAAGAAGAAGUGUGUAAGCGCCGACGCUACGCACUCGGCAGCCAUGUCCAAUUGAAAUAGAUUGGAGCCGUGGUAGGCAGGGUAAUUCUGGGUGUGCGCCGAGCCCCGCUGUAAUCUUCGUACUCCACCACGCCUCGUCUGGUCGCUUUCUCUUACUCUGUUUUUUUUUUUUUAUAUACAUAAUGAGAUCGAUAGCGUCGUGGGCUCCUGCAGAAAGUCCCAGAAUGAAAGAAUGAGACUUUGCCUUCAGCUACUUUUUCUUUUAGCUUUUUUUUUUUUGUGUGUGUGUGUCCUCCUCUGACUAUGCAACUCAAUCAAGUUUAUCCGGUCUAAGUUCUUUUGGUGGCAGCAGUGUGUUCUCUAAGGCGAUGAAGUGGGGGGGUUGGUUGCUGUCAGUGAUGUGUACCUCUGAAUUUAAUCCAAUCAGAGUGAAGCCGUGUCCCAGGAAGUGUUGCUGUCCCACAUCUUUGGGCCGAUUUCAAAACUCCUGCAGUUUUCCCACAUCGUUCCUGUCUUUUAUCUGCAGUUGGGUUCUGUAAGGAUUUGUUUCUUGCUUUACUUCCUGUGUUCCCCCCCUCCUUUUUUUUCCCCUGUUUGAUUGGUUUGUCCCAGUGUGCCCCGCCCUCAUUAGUUGCACCUGUGUCUGGUUUACUCCUCAGCAUGUGGGUGUGCACAUGCAGCCGUGUCUUUGCCAUCUGUCAAGUUGCCCCUGUUGGCGUUUCCUGGUUUUUCAGACAUUUCAGGAAUAGAAACAGAAACGCUGCUCGAGAGGAGGAGGAGGAGGGGGAAGAGAGAGAGACACGCGCAGCUGAUCUUUAUUCAUCGUUUUCGUUUGACGACAUUCGCCGGCAACAGGAACAUUAGAAGACAAGAGCCGAGCAGAACUUGGAUCGUCCCUGAUCUCCAUCCGCGGACCCGCAGCCCAUCACCCACGCCGCAUCAUCCCAGCGUCCACGAUAGCGGCAAAUGAAAAGAGGUAAUGCGAAAAGAUCAAC
This is a long non-coding RNA of Mugil cephalus (flathead mullet), 1265 nucleotides long. RefSeq lists it as uncharacterized. The record is from RefSeq and is a predicted model, not a curated record. The transcript is spliced from 3 exons. Lineage: Eukaryota; Metazoa; Chordata; Actinopteri; Mugiliformes; Mugilidae.